AUUCCUACUUCUUUAGAAAAGUGUGAGGAAAUUAGAAUUCAGCACUGUGUAACUAACAGCCCUCCUACUGCUCAAUUUCUAGGCAAAUCCUGCCCUUGAGCAGUGCUUGAAGUUUAACUGUUUCCUAACUCUGUAUUGUUUAGGGACAGCAUUAGCGUCUGAGGACUGACAGGUAGAACUUUCAACAGACAGAAAUAGUUAGCAACAUUUGUGAAGAAAUAUGUUAGAACUCACAGGAGCAAAGCCAGAGUACCAUGACGGAAAAACUGAGAGGCAGACAUUGUUACUGUUUGAACAUAAUACUGGAAGAAACUGGUGAUUCCAACGAAACAUUUAUUUUUAUAUCAGCUGUAAUUUUGGUGCGUAUUUACUUUUUUUUUUUUUUUUGCCUUUUUCGGGGGAAGGGGCGUGUCUAGAAGUAUCCAAAAUUCUACAUCUUCUUCUGGAAAUUGAAGCUGUAAGAUAGGAGGCAAAUGAAAGCUUUUAAGAAGUUAAAGUUUAGAAUUAGCUUAAAUCUCAUUUGCUAUUUGAAGGUCAUUCCAUGCUGUGGCUCUACAGAUAUAAAAACUUAUUCUACACAGGAUGACUUCUGAACGUCUGUGGAUGUAAAUUAGUAAUACCUGAAAUAUUGUCAGUGUGGAGACCAUCCCUGCACAUCAUCAUGAUUUCUGAAGAAGGCUUGUUGGAAAUAUUAUAAAUGGUCAAAAUCCAGCCUCACAACUUGCCUGUGAAGAAGUCUACACUCUUCUCCCAUCACUGCCAAGAACAUCGUUAAACAGAAAGCCACCUGACUGCUAGAUCAUGUUCUUUCCUAUCUUACAUCUACCAGCCUUCAGGGGCACAGACUGACUUCUAAUCCUAGCUGUAUUUUAGUAAAAGUCACCUUUAUUUACAAGUUAAUACCUGGUGUUUGGAAACAUUGCCAAAACUCUUUAAAGCAUUAAGUCAAUUCUUGAAUAUGGUGUCCAUGUAUAGUAUGGCUUCAGAGAAGAAACAAUGGAGUUGAACACAGAGCAAAAAUGCAGAUCCUCCUGAGAAUGGUGGCACACACUUGUAAUCCCUGCACCUGAGAGGGAAGGCAGGGAGAUGGUGCCAGCCUGAGCUUUAAAAGUGGGAACUUGCUUCAGAAAUGAACACAUUAAACACAUUAAAACUCACUGCUUCUUUGUUGUAGAUUUACACAAAACAAAGACACAGUGUACUUGAUGCUGUUGGAAGAGAUUUCUGUAACAGGGAGGAAAUACAGCAGUGAGAAAGCAAAAUAAUUUAAUAAUUUAAAUUUUUCAUAUAUAGUAUUUAGGGCAUAAGGAACUUCUGCAUAGAGGCAAUGAUGAUUUAAAACCUCCGCCACAAAGUCUCCCAUGGCAACAUCCAUUGCACUUAGUCCCUAGGUGUGUAUCAUCUACAUGGUCCUAGGCGUUUACUUUUAGUCCCGUAAUGAUCAUUUUCCACUAUCCGUGUAUCUAAAUCUCAACAGUAUUUCAAGUUCUGUAACUCUGAAAACUAAAACAUUUCCCAAUCAACACAGUAAACAGUGUUACUAUUCCAUAUAUAUCUACAAUCCAGUUUUGAAAUCACACUAAUAAUGUUCAUUUCUGAAAUAUCUUUCAAAGCCCUAAGUCUUAAAAGUUUGGUCCUUCACCAAUGGUAAGAGUACACAGUAGUAGAAAACUGUGUGUGUGUGUGUGUGUGUGUGUGUGUGUGUUCCAUAGAGAACACCAUUCCACUAUUUGAUUCACAAAUGUGACUGUGUGAGAUGCCGUGUGUGUGUGUGUGUGUGUGUGUGUGUGUCUGUGUGUCUGUGUGUUUGAGGAAGAGAGAGUGUGUACACAUGAGAGAGAGAACCGAAUGGGAGGUUGGGGUCACUUGACUUGUGCCUUCAAAGGAGACUUGAGGGACCUAGUUUUCCCCUCUUCUUCUCUUUGUUUGCUUUCUAGUUAUCAUGCAAUUACCAGCUUGCUUUAUGUCAUAACUAUCUACUGUGAUGUGUAUCUACAAUAUCCAAAACAACAGGACCAAAUGACAAUCACCAAAA
Psammomys obesus (fat sand rat) is the source of this 2035-nucleotide long non-coding RNA. RefSeq lists it as uncharacterized. NCBI's taxonomy places the organism in Eukaryota, Metazoa, Chordata, Mammalia, Rodentia, Muridae. The transcript has 2 exons. The record is from RefSeq and is a predicted model, not a curated record.